ACCUGUCUUUUUUUUUUUUUUUUUUUUUUUUGUAGAUUAGACAAAGUAGAAAUCUAUGUGAUUGGAGCAGCAGGGGAGUUGUCACUAGAAGAAAGAACACUGAAGAAUAGAAAGAAUUCAGAGAGAUAAAAAGAAGAGUUAAAGAGCAUGAAUUCAGGGCUAGCAGAUACAAAUGAACAUGUUACAGGGAUUGGAGAAAUCAGAUUUGUCUACCAUUCCAGUUGGCUUUUGAGUGGAUAAUUGUUGCGGAGAGAGAAUUCACUUUGGAAACAACUAGUGACUGUUUGAACUACAUAAAAUACAACCAUGGAAAGAAAUACGUGUGAUUUGCUCUCUCGGAGCAAAAGUGCCUCUGAGGAAACACUGCAUUCUAGUAAUGAAGAGGAAGACCCUUUUCGAGGAAUGGAGCCCUACCUUGUUCGAAGACUUUCAUGCCGCAAUAUACAGCUUCCUCCCCUUGCCUUCAGACAACUGGAACAGGCUGACUUGAAAAGUGAAUCAGAGAACAUUCCAAGACCAACCAGCCUCCCCUUGAAGAUUCUGCCACUGAUUGCUAUCACUUCUGCAGACUCCAGUGGGAAAUGA
This 585-nucleotide long non-coding RNA is filed under the name Fukomys damarensis (Damara mole-rat). RNAcentral describes it as "lncRNA (ENSFDAG00000029839.1)". Lineage: Eukaryota; Metazoa; Chordata; Mammalia; Rodentia; Bathyergidae. The record is from RNAcentral.